This 68-nucleotide transfer RNA is filed under the name Paralvinella sulfincola. RNAcentral's name for it is "tRNA-Gly". It matches the Rfam family "tRNA". From Rfam's summary of the family: Transfer RNA (tRNA) molecules are approximately 80 nucleotides in length. Their secondary structure includes four short double-helical elements and three loops (D, anti-codon, and T loops). Further hydrogen bonds mediate the characteristic L-shaped molecular structure. tRNAs have two regions of fundamental functional importance: the anti-codon, which is responsible for specific mRNA codon recognition, and the 3' end, to which the tRNAs corresponding amino acid is attached (by aminoacyl-tRNA synthetases). tRNAs cope with the degeneracy of the genetic code in two manners: having more than one tRNA (with a specific anti-codon) for a particular amino acid; and 'wobble' base-pairing, i.e. permitting non-standard base-pairing at the 3rd anti-codon position. Lineage: Eukaryota; Metazoa; Annelida; Polychaeta; Terebellida; Alvinellidae. The record is from RNAcentral.
GCCUCCUAAGUAUUUCUCGUACGUCUGCCUUCCAAGCAGAAAGAUUAGGACGAAUCCUAAAGGUGGCA